This 94-nucleotide microRNA precursor is filed under the name Daucus carota subsp. sativus. RNAcentral describes it as "sRNA DCAR_mi00132". Lineage: Eukaryota; Viridiplantae; Streptophyta; Magnoliopsida; Apiales; Apiaceae. The record is from RNAcentral.
CUCUGUAUGUUUCCACAGCUUUCUUGAACCGCUUAUUUCAUCUUGAACCGAUGAGCUUGAAGCGGUUCAAUGAAGCUGUGGGAAGAAACAGAGA